ACUUACACCAACCAGGUGACGACAGUAUUUAAGUAAAGACGAAUAUAUCAUAGUACAAUUUUUGGAUUAUUCCACCUCAUGACGUAACAAAAGCGCAUUAUAUCCUCAGCUUAAUAAAAUACACCACCAAAUUUUAUGAAAACCACAUUUCACAAAAAGCUUAUGAAUUUCAUAGAUGUUUAGCUAUCGAUUACAUAACAAGCGUUACAGAUCAAAGGAAACUAGACACUAAUUAAUUAAAAGCAACUGUUUUUACACCUAACACAAACCCUAAAGACAGUAAAAUUAAACAUUGAAACCAUAAAAUUGUUCAAGAGCUAGUGAAUUUGGUAACGGCCUUAGUUCCUUCAGAGACAGCAUGCUUAGCCAAUUCACCAGGAAGUACAAGUCUCACAGCAGUCUGAAUCUCCCGAGAAGUGAUAGUUGGCUUCUUGUUGUACCUAGCAAGUCUCGAAGAUUCCUGAGCAAGCUUCUCAAAGAUAUCGUUAAUGAAACUGUUCAUGAUACCCAUAGCUUUGCUCGAAAUACCGAUAUCAGGAUGAGAGCGAGUCUAGAAGAUUCCUGAGCAAGCUUCUCAAAGAUAUCGUUGAUGAAACUGUUCAUGAUACCCAUGGCUUUGCUUGAAAUACCGAUAUCGGGGUGAACCUGCUUCAGAACCUUGAAGAUGUAAAUCUUGUAGGUCUCAACUGACUUCUUUGCCCUCUUCUUCUUCUUGUCUCCGGCAGCACCAGCGUCCUUUGGGAGCUUCUUUCCGGCCUUGGGCUUCUUCUCUGCUGGUGCUUUCUCGGCGACCGGGGUUUUCUCAGCGGCCGGCUUUUUCUCGGCGUGUUUCUUCUCAGCUUUUGGUGCCAUUUGAGGAGAGAAAUGGAGAUUUUAGGUUAAGAGAAGGUUUGGAGUAAUUUUGAAGAGAUGCGAAUACGAUUGAUGAAGCAAUUAGGAAAUGAG
RNAcentral lists this long non-coding RNA (945 nucleotides) under Nicotiana benthamiana. RNAcentral describes it as "long non-coding RNA (NBEN_LNC012951)". Lineage: Eukaryota; Viridiplantae; Streptophyta; Magnoliopsida; Solanales; Solanaceae. The record is from RNAcentral.